GACGCCUGGGGACACUUGGGGUUGCCACAGCUGGAAGAGGGGGUGCCACUGGUCUCUGGUGGGUAGAGACCGGGACGCUGCCGAACAUCCCACCACGCACAGGGCAGCCCCCACAGCACAGAAUGAUCCAACCCCAGUGUCAGCAGGGCCGAGGCUGAGAACCCAUGAUGAAACCAUUUCUCGAUGGACAGGAGACACGCACCUGGGUGAAGAGGACAGCGGAUCACUCUUCUCGACAGCACAAAGCCACCCGCACCAAUCAGUAACUACUACUGAUGAAUAGCUGAAGCGACAUAAAUGUCAUCUCAUUGUCCCUUUGGCCUGAGAAAAGGGUUGAUCUCUCCAACAUCAGCUGGAAAAUGGACGAGUUAGAAAAGGAG
This is a non-coding RNA of Vicugna pacos (alpaca), 380 nucleotides long. Lineage: Eukaryota; Metazoa; Chordata; Mammalia; Artiodactyla; Camelidae. The record is from RefSeq and is a predicted model, not a curated record.